This 319-nucleotide ribosomal RNA is filed under the name Acinetobacter baumannii. RNAcentral describes it as "bacterial SSU rRNA". It matches the Rfam family "Bacterial small subunit ribosomal RNA", at positions 1 to 320 of the family's 1533-position model. The record is from RNAcentral. Lineage: Bacteria; Pseudomonadati; Pseudomonadota; Gammaproteobacteria; Moraxellales; Moraxellaceae.
UUUAACUGAAGAGUUUGAUCAUGGCUCAGAUUGAACGCUGGCGGCAGGCUUAACACAUGCAAGUCGAGCGGGGGAAGGUAGCUUGCUACCGGACCUAGCGGCGGACGGGUGAGUAAUGCUUAGGAAUCUGCCUAUUAGUGGGGGACAACAUCUCGAAAGGGAUGCUAAUACCGCAUACGUCCUACGGGAGAAAGCAGGGGAUCUUCGGACCUUGCGCUAAUAGAUGAGCCUAAGUCGGAUUAGCUAGUUGGUGGGGUAAAGGCCUACCAAGGCGACGAUCUGUAGCGGGUCUGAGAGGAUGAUCCGCCACACUGGGACU